CACAGUCCUAGGCCAUGCAGAAUUCCCAACCCUAGUCAACCCACUGCAGAGGCCCCAACACUCUCCACCAAUGUCCCCCACAGUUCACCUGCUCCUCAUGCAGGUUCUACCUCACAGAGGUGGACAUAUUUGCCUGCUUGUAGAGGAUCAAGGCACCCAGUCUAUGCAGGCCAACAAUUAGCCUGAGGCCUUGCUGUUGGGUGGGGUCAGUCCCUAAGGCACGCUCCCUGCCCUGGCUGAGCUGGAUUAAAUUGAUCUUCUAGUGGAUGUGGCAGCCUCCGGGGCUAACCUGCCAGGGGAAGAACUCCAAUGGCAUCUGCCAGAGUCUGAGUCAGCACACCUGUACUAGGUCACAACAGCAGCUGCCACCAAGGUCUCAGUCUCCAGGGACUCUCACCUCUCGCCAAGAUGCACCCAGAGUCUACCAGGAAACCAAUAAAUUAAUAGGAAACGGACUUUUUAAAUGACAAACAACACCAAACAGAAUAGGAAGGGAACCACCAAAAAGAAGUGAUUUCAACAAAUGUCUGGAAGAUGGUAAGCAGAUAAAGGAAUGAUGACACAAAGCAGAGGAAGCCACAGCUUAGAAUACAUGCUGGACACGUACAUUCAACGGGAAAAUCUGUCUGCCAUGCUCAAUUCCUGACAAGACUGGGAUGUUGAAAUCCAGGUGUAACCUGCUUCUGCUGAAAGAAUCCUGAGUUAUGUAUACUAUGAAGGAUAUCGCAAUCUCUAUGCUGAGACUUCACCAUAUUAUUGCUGAUUUGGCGACUGCCUGUAUUGUGUUCCCAAUGUACCAGCAAGAGUAGCCAACCUUGGUCCUCCUUGGGCCCAAGCAGAUAAUUAGAUAUACUCAUACAGAAAUCUAACUCGGAAACAGGUUACAUGUAAAAGAUCACACAUUACAUCGUGUGAUCCCAACAAUAGUCCUAUGAGCUAGGUAUAUUAUUGAUAUCCCUAUUUUACAGAUGAAGAAAUUGAGAGUCAGAGAGAUUAAGUAAUUCACCCAAGGUUACAGAAAAAGUAAGUGAUGAAUACUGGAUUUCAGAGCUGGAAUUGCGAAGCACUCUACCACACUGCUUGUUAAUUUUGGCGUUUCUGUUUAGUAACCUAAUAACUGUGUGUUCCUGAUGCUUCUGAACUCUGGAUGUAGUGGCCAUCACCUGUGCCAGCAUGAAUACCAUGCAGGGUCUUGUGUGUGCUUGGAUAUACCAACUAUAUUUUGUUGUUAUCCUUUCCCUUUUCCUUAGUAUUUCAAAAAGGGUUAAUUGUUGGUGGUAAACUUCCCCAUUUAAUUCAUUGAGAUAGAUUGUGAUGGAAUUACAGGAGGAAUGGAGAACCCCUGGAGAUGAGAGACCUGUCGCACAAACAUAAGAAGUGAUGAGUAUUUGGAUCACCCACUUGGAGAGAGUGAAUUAAGCUUUGCUUUUCCGUUUUUUUUGCUUUUUGAUGGCUUGUUUUAUUAUGUUAGACUCUAUCACCUGUGAUGUUGCUAUUUGAGGACUUAAAUAUGUAAGACAUUAAUAUGCUGGUAUUGAACAGCCUAAGAGGUGGACUGUUCUAGAAGCUUUGGUAGAAUUUUUGGUUGCCCAGAACUUUUGAUUUACGUCCUGUAUUUGAGGAAAAUUCACCACCGAUGGGUCUCCUCAGAAAGCAGAUCCAAGCCUGUGAGAGCAGUCCCCAGGGCUAGGAGAAUUGGUGGUGUAAUGUGCACCGCCUCUGACAAUCAGGGGCAAAGGUGAUGCUUCCCCCAGACCAAAUAUAUGCCAUAGUUUUAGGUACUGUCCUGUCAGUACAGCACCACAGCUUGAUUCUCCAACAUUUCUGGGGAAUCGUUAAGGUAAUAUAUUUUAAUAAAUUUGUUUUUUAAUGUUUGAA
RNAcentral lists this long non-coding RNA (1878 nucleotides) under Equus caballus (horse). RNAcentral describes it as "lncRNA (ENSECAG00000050634.1)". The record is from RNAcentral. Lineage: Eukaryota; Metazoa; Chordata; Mammalia; Perissodactyla; Equidae.